Molecule: ribosomal RNA, 743 nt
Filed under: uncultured bacterium
Lineage: Bacteria
Description: bacterial SSU rRNA
Rfam family: Bacterial small subunit ribosomal RNA
Source: RNAcentral
AGAGUUUGAUUAUGGCUCAGAACGAACGCUGGCGGCAUGCCUAACACAUGCAAGUCGAACGCGUGACUUCGGUCACGAGUGGCGCACGGGUGAGUAGCGCGUGGGAACCUGCCCUUUGGUUCGGAAUAACCUCGGGAAACUGUGGCUAAUACCGAAUGUACCCUACGGGGGAAAGAUUUAUCGCCAAGGGAGGGGCCCGCGUCCGAUUAGGUAGUUGGUGAGGUAACGGCUCACCAAGCCUGUGAUCGGUAGCUGGUCUGAGAGGAUGAUCAGCCACACUGGGACUGAGAUACGGCCCAGACUCCUACGGGAGGCAGCAGUGGGGAAUAUUGGACAAUGGGGGCAACCCUGAUCCAGCAAUGCCGCGUGAGUGAUGAAGGCCUUCGGGUUGUAAAGCUCUUUCGCCCACGACGAUGGUGACGGUAGNGGGAGAAGAAGCCCCGGCUAACUUCGUGCCAGCAGCCGCGGUAAUACGAAGGGGGCUAGCGUUGUUCGGAGUUACUGGGCGUAAAGGGCGCGUAGGCGGCUGUCCAAGUCNNGUGUGAAAGCCCAGGGCUCAACCCUNNNUGUGCACUCGAGACUGGCCGGCUAGAGGAUGGGAGAGGAUGGUGGAAUUCCCAGUGUAGAGGUGAAAUUCGUAGAUAUUGGNNAGAACACCGGUGGCGANNNCGGCCAUCUGGACCAUUUCUGACGCUGAGGCGCGAAAGCGUGGGGAGCAAACAGGAUUAGAUACCCUGGUAGUC